CUCUAUGGGUGGCUCGUGUGGGGGAGCCUUCGGGCUCGCCGGUCCAGACCCGGUACGCCAACCUCACACGAGACCGCCCGCCCGA
This 85-nucleotide non-coding RNA is filed under the name Nitrosospira multiformis. The record is from RNAcentral. Lineage: Bacteria; Pseudomonadati; Pseudomonadota; Betaproteobacteria; Nitrosomonadales; Nitrosomonadaceae.